UGAGUAACCUGCCUUUAACUCUGGGAUAAGCCUGGGAAACUGGGUCUAAUACCGGAUAUGACUCCUCAUCGCAUGGGUGGGGGGUGGAAAGCUUUAUUGUGGUUUUGGAUGGACUCGCGGCCUAUCAGCUUGUUGGUGAGGUAAUGGCUCACCAAGGCGACGACGGGUAGCCGGCCUGGAGGAGGGUCGACCCGGCCACACGUGGGACUGAGACCACCGGCCCAGACCUCCGUAACGGGGAGCAG
This 245-nucleotide ribosomal RNA is filed under the name uncultured bacterium. RNAcentral's name for it is "partial 16S ribosomal RNA". It matches the Rfam family "Bacterial small subunit ribosomal RNA", at positions 118 to 354 of the family's 1533-position model. The record is from RNAcentral.